UAUUUUCCUUUUAUCUUCUGUAAUCAACUUUGUGUCAUAACCUUCUUCUUCACACCUCACACUCUUUUUCAUAGGCCUCCUUACCUCUACAGUUUCUUUAUAUCCUAUUGAACAGGGAAUAGAGAACAUUAUUCAGCCACCUCUUAUGGUGACAACUCAUAUUCAGGAUAAACCCAUUGCAAUCUGUAGAUUUGCAAUAUAAACUAGUUUCCCAUCUACCAUUAUCAGGGAAAAUAACCAAGUCAGGGAAGUUAACACUUGUGGUAUAAGUGCAUUGAGCUGGACUCAAAUAUGAAUUUCACAACAUUCACUGUUCUAUUAGCCAAUGAUGUGCAGUAAGUUGAUCUCCUGAUUGGUAGAGGGUCUGAUCAGCAGAUGAUGAGGGAGACCGUUGAUGACAUCAUGCUGAAUUGAAGGAAAACUGCUGUUGGUUGGAGUUGGUUGGCAGGCACAGCAGAUCUCAAAAAAAGACGUUGUGGAAAGAGUUGGGCAAUCAGGACAAAAUCUUGCUGGCUGCAAAACAAGCUCUUCCUCUCUGUCUGAAAGGGCUGGAUUUUCUAGAAGGAGCAAGAAGAUUGAUCUUUCAAUUUUUUAGAAUGUUGAUUAAACCGAGCAGAAAGAAAGAAGAGGCCUUUGACUGCAAUGGAAACUAUAGACUGGGCCAUUCUUAUCAGUGUUGGAAUAGAGGGCAAACAUGGAAAAGAAAGUUCCAAAGAUCUAAAAAGAAGUUCAGAGCACAGCGAAUGAGGAGAGUGUACCGUAGGAAUAGAAACUGGCAUUACCGGAGGUUUCAACGUCAAAUUACAGUAAUUAAAAUUCUGCUCUAAAUACCCUGAAGAUGAGACAUAAGCAGAAACACCCAGCAAGCAUGCAACAGUGCAUAUAGGACAGCAUUGGCAAAAUGCAUAAAAAAUGUUGUUUAAUAAAAGCAAUUAUAACAAGCAA
Molecule: long non-coding RNA, 945 nt
Organism: Xenopus tropicalis (tropical clawed frog)
Lineage: Eukaryota; Metazoa; Chordata; Amphibia; Anura; Pipidae
Exons: 5
Source: RefSeq, a predicted model, not a curated record